Long non-coding RNA from Humulus lupulus (European hop), 441 nucleotides. RefSeq lists it as uncharacterized. The record is from RefSeq and is a predicted model, not a curated record. The transcript has 2 exons. NCBI's taxonomy places the organism in Eukaryota, Viridiplantae, Streptophyta, Magnoliopsida, Rosales, Cannabaceae.
AUGGGUGUGUGAUUAAAUGGGUUUAAGUUUGGAAUUAGCAUCAUUUUUUGUCCCUUUUUUCUAUCGUUAGCCAAUCUUUUUGCGGUUUCUGUAACUCAACUAAGUUAAAUUUUAUUUAUUGUAUUUCUGGAUAGGCUUUUGGGCCAUAGCAAUAUCUAAUAGAGCAAAAAUGUGCGUCUGUAUAAAGGAAGUUGAAGAGCUAUGGAAGCAGGUCUAUAUUGAGAUGCAUUUCUUUGGCGCAAUACUAGACAACAUUGACAGUUGAAGUUUUUAGAAUAAAAAAUAUAUUUCACUAACAUUGGAUACAUUUCUUGUUUAUUAUUUGGUGAUGAUAAAAUUUGCUUGUAGUAUAAACUAUCAUGUAAUAUGAUUUUGUAAGCCGAGUAGACUAAAUACUGAAAUUAUAUUUUUGAGUAAUUAAUAAAAAAUUAUUUUGUUGUA